RNAcentral lists this ribosomal RNA (253 nucleotides) under uncultured bacterium. RNAcentral describes it as "partial 16S ribosomal RNA". It matches the Rfam family "Bacterial small subunit ribosomal RNA", at positions 524 to 776 of the family's 1533-position model. The record is from RNAcentral.
UACGUAGGGUGCAAGCGUUAAUCGGAAUUACUGGGCGUAAAGCGUGCGCAGGCGGUUUUGUAAGUCUGUCGUGAAAGCCCCGGGCUCAACCCGGGAAUUGCGAUGGAGACUGCAAGGCUUGAAUCUGGCAGAGGGGGGUAGAAUUCCACGUGUAGCAGUGAAAUGCGUAGAGAUGUGGAGGAACACCGAUGGCGAAGGCAGCCCCCUGGGUCAAGAUUGACGCUCAUGCACGAAAGCGUGGGGAGCAAACAGG